RNAcentral lists this ribosomal RNA (440 nucleotides) under uncultured bacterium. Its description in RNAcentral is "partial 16S ribosomal RNA". It matches the Rfam family "Bacterial small subunit ribosomal RNA", at positions 338 to 795 of the family's 1533-position model. The record is from RNAcentral.
CCUACGGGAGGCAGCAGUGGGGGAUAUUGCACAAUGGGGGAGACCCUGAUGCAGCGACGUCGCGUGGGUGAAGAAGCGCCUCGGCGCGUAAAGCCUCGUCAGCAGGGGAGAAAAUGACGGUACCUGAAGACGAAGCCCCUGCUAACUACGGGCCAGGAGCCCCGGUAAUACGUAGGGGGCAAGCGUUAUCCGGAUUUACUGGGUGUAAAGGGGGCGCAGACGGUGAUGCAAGCCAGGAGUGAAAGCCCGGGGCCCAACCCCGGGACUGCUGUUGAAACUGCGUGGCUAGAGUGCAGGAGGGGCAGGCGGAAUGCGUGGUGUAGCGGUGAAAUGCGUAGAUAUCAGGAAGAACACCGAUGGCGAAGGCGGCCUGCUGGACUGCAACUGACGUGGAGGCCCGAAAGCGUGGGGAGCGAACAGGAUUAGAUACCCCUGUAGUC